This 253-nucleotide ribosomal RNA is filed under the name uncultured bacterium. Its description in RNAcentral is "partial 16S ribosomal RNA". It matches the Rfam family "Bacterial small subunit ribosomal RNA", at positions 524 to 776 of the family's 1533-position model. The record is from RNAcentral.
UACAGAGGGUGCGAGCGUUAAUCGGAAUUACUGGGCGUAAAGCGCACGUAGGUGGCGACGUAAGUCGGGUGUGAAAGCCCCGGGCUCAACCUGGGAGUUGCAUUCGAGACUGCAUAGCUGGAGUACGGAAGAGGAGGGCGGAAUUCCCGGUGUAGCGGUGAAAUGCGUAGAUAUCUGGAGGAACAUCAGUGGCGAAGGCGGCCCUCUGGUCCAGUACUGACACUGAAGCGCGAAAGCGUGGGGAGCAAACAGG